GUCGUUCCCGCCCCAGGCUUCGCCCGGCGCCAUGUUGGGUGCUGGCAAGAGAAGCCGAACGGCGGCGUGACUGGUAGGCGACGCUUCCGGGUGGAGCUGCGCCACCAACGCGAGGUGUGGUCAGCGUUGUGAUGCUCGCCAGUCACUGCAGCCGACCAGCUUGGGAUACCUACCAAGCCAGCAGAGUUGCAGAAUAUGCCACUGUCAAAAGCCGUUGAGAGGGCUCAGUGGGAAAGGCAUUUACCAUCAUAAUGGUGGAGAGAGAGAACCACUCCUGUUCUCAGACUUUGACAGGCGCGCACGCAUGCAAAAGAAAUGAAUGUAAUGAAGAAAAAAAAAAUUUUCGAGACAGUGUGUCACCUAACUCACUCUGUAGACCAGUUUGGCCUCGAACUCAAGAGAGCUGCCUGUUUCUGCAUGCGGUGCCACCACAGCCUGGCAGAAAAGAAAAAAAUUCCAAGAGUCAAGCUGCGCUGGCCCUCGCCUUUAGUAUGCUAGCAGAUGGAAGACAGAGGCUGGAGCAUUUCUGGGAGUUCAAAGCCAGCCAGAGCUCCCUAAUGAAAUUCUGUCUCAAAAAUCAAAAAUAAUACACCACUAGACCCUGGAAAGAAGGGUUUAAAUUUCUUGUGA
Long non-coding RNA from Arvicola amphibius (Eurasian water vole), 630 nucleotides. RefSeq lists it as uncharacterized. The transcript is spliced from 2 exons. The record is from RefSeq and is a predicted model, not a curated record. NCBI's taxonomy places the organism in Eukaryota, Metazoa, Chordata, Mammalia, Rodentia, Cricetidae.